AUUGAACGCUGGCGGCAGGCUUAACACAUGCAAGUCGAGCGGGGUGAUGGUGCUUGCACUAUCACUUAGCGGCGGACGGGUGAGUAAUGCUUAGGAAUCUGCCUAUUAGUGGGGGACAACAUCUCGAAAGGGAUGCUAAUACCGCAUACGUCCUACGGGAGAAAGCAGGGGAUCACUUGUGACCUUGCGCUAAUAGAUGAGCCUAAGUCGGAUUAGCUAGUUGGUGGGGUAAAGGCCUACCAAGGCGACGAUCUGUAGCGGGUCUGAGAGGAUGAUCCGCCACACUGGGACUGAGACACGGCCCAGACACCUACGGGAGGAAGCAGUGGGGAAUAUUGGACAAUGGAGGGAACCCUGAUCCAGCCAUGCCGCGUGUGUGAAGAAGGCCUUAUGGUUGUAAAGCACUUUAAGCGAGGAGGAGGCUCUUUUGGUUAAUACCCAAGAUGAGUGGACGUUACUCGCAGAAUAAGCACCGGCUAACUCUGUGCCAGCAGCCGCGGUAA
RNAcentral lists this ribosomal RNA (503 nucleotides) under uncultured bacterium. RNAcentral's name for it is "partial 16S ribosomal RNA". It matches the Rfam family "Bacterial small subunit ribosomal RNA", at positions 30 to 523 of the family's 1533-position model. The record is from RNAcentral.